RNAcentral lists this ribosomal RNA (275 nucleotides) under uncultured Luteolibacter sp. Its description in RNAcentral is "partial 16S ribosomal RNA". It matches the Rfam family "Bacterial small subunit ribosomal RNA", at positions 338 to 605 of the family's 1533-position model. The record is from RNAcentral. Lineage: Bacteria; Pseudomonadati; Verrucomicrobiota; Verrucomicrobiia; Verrucomicrobiales; Verrucomicrobiaceae.
CCUACGGGGGGCUGCAGUCGAGAAUAAUUCACAAUGGGGGCAACCCUGAUGGUGCAACGCCGCGUGGAGGAUGACGGUCUUCGGAUUGUAAACUCCUGUCAUCCGGGAGUAAGACCUGGCUGUGAAUAGCAGACAGGGUUGAUAGUACCGGAAGAGGAAGGGACGGCUAACUUCGUGCCAGCAGCCGCGGUAAUACGAAGGUCCCGAGCGUUGUUCGGAAUCACUGGGCGUAAAGGGAGCGUAGGCGGCGUGGUAAGUCAGAUGUGAAAUCCCGG